AUUGAACGCUGGCGGCAGGCCUAACACAUGCAAGUCGAACGGUAGCACAGAGGAGCUUGCUCCUUGGGUGACGAGUGGCGGACGGGUGAGUAAUGUCUGGGAAACUGCCCGAUGGAGGGGGAUAACUACUGGAAACGGUAGCUAAUACCGCAUAACGUCGCAAGACCAAAGAGGGGGACCUUCGGGCCUCUUGCCAUCGGAUGUGCCCAGAUGGGAUUAGCUAGUAGGUGGGGUAACGGCUCACCUAGGCGACGAUCCCUAGCUGGUCUGAGAGGAUGACCAGCCACACUGGAACUGAGACACGGUCCAGACUCCUACGGGAGGCAGCAGUGGGGAAUAUUGCACAAUGGGCGCAAGCCUGAUGCAGCCAUGCCGCGUGUAUGAAGAAGGCCUUCGGGUUGUAAAGUACUUUCAGCGAGGAGGAAGGUGUUGUGGUUAAUAACCGCAGCAAUUGACGUUACUCGCAGAAGAAGCACCGGCUAACUCCGUGCCAGCCGCCGCCGUAA
This 506-nucleotide ribosomal RNA is filed under the name uncultured bacterium. Its description in RNAcentral is "partial 16S ribosomal RNA". It matches the Rfam family "Bacterial small subunit ribosomal RNA", at positions 30 to 523 of the family's 1533-position model. The record is from RNAcentral.